CAAAUGCGUUUUAUGUCCACCGGAGGGAGCCCUAUCCAUUGACUAGUUCUCUCCAACUAGUCAAUGGAUUUUGACCAACCGUGACGCAUUAUUUGUAUUUUUGAAAGCAGGGGAUUUGUAGUCAAUAAGUAGUUGUGAUUGCUAAAUCGGAUCUGACGUUGGACUUCGAAAGGCCAUGUGCUGCACAACAACAGUGCUCGACCGAAAGCUUGUCUGCAGAAGCAGGAAGUCCCCAAAUGGAGGCACUGUUGAAAUCAAGAAGCUGACUCCUCAGAAAUGGAAAAGGGAGAGGAGGAAUCAGGGCUCGAACCCUCAACCUCAGCAUUCAAACCCCAUGUCAAUGCCACCACACCACCAUCAUGUCUGGGUUCUCAGUUGGUAAUUUCCAGUGCUCUACAGAGACAUUAUCAAUCGAAUGAGACUUACAGAUGAAGAGAGUCAAAAGGAGAGAGCUGGGCUCGAACUCUGUACCUCUGUAGCCAGAGGCGGAGACACUACCAUUAAGCCACGGUGGGAUUAACGAGUUUGGCGGUGAUUUUUUGGAUAGAAGAAGAUGAGCCCAGAGGGACAAAAAUAGGGAAGAGCUCUGAAUUAACCGAAUAACUCCGCAUCCAAAGACGACAAUUUUCACGACACAAUUAUCUUUGAUAUGGUUUUGGAGUCUCUGUGGGAGGAGGGGGCAGGGUUCAGGGUUCAGGGGGUGGGGGGAAAGGAGAGGGAGGGAAAUUGAACUUGCAUCCUUCUGCUUUGUGGAGCGAGGUCCUGUUCCCUGCACCACAGAGCUCAUCAAGGUUUAUACAGACAUAAACAGGAAGAGGUCAGCCUUGAGUCACAGAUCCAGAGCAGGUGCUCUCCCUCUUGAGCAGACAGGCAAGGCCAGACAAGAGAAGUCAUCAUGCUUAUAACUUUAACACAAACACUUUCAUUAAAAACUCGAAUAUGUGUUUGCAUUCUUCUAGCUAAGGAAUGCUUGUGCUGUUGUUAUUUGUGUAUUGAACAAGUGAUUUGAAGUCCCAUCCAAUCAGAUGAUCUAAUUACUGGGGUAAAGGUGCGCCUGCAGGUAAUUAGUUGGUUUAAAAUGAUGCCUUUGAAUGUUUUCCUUCACCGUGAUUAAAAUGAGAUGGUUAAGCUAGCCGGUACUACAUUUCUGAGAACACUGAUCUCCUCUGCUUUCAUGAAGUGCUGUGGAUGUGUGCUGGGGACAGGGCUUGUAAAUGCACAUUAUUUUUAUUUAAUGAAAGAACUCAGUGUAUGUUCUGCAGUUUCAUUAAUCUUUGGAAGAUGUGCUGUCAUUGCUCAAUAAAAAAUACACAAUAAGAACAGUUUUAAUUUCAGUAGAUAUUUAUUAUUUUGAAUUGUGCGCAGCAUUAAAAAUCUUCAUACAAAAAAUAUUUUUGAUCAUAACGAAGGAGUGCAGAACUUUUUAAACCAGACUUGCUCUGCUGUAAUGCCAUUUUUUUCCAGCAGAGGGAAGCAAGCCCUUCACCUGUAGCUCCCUGCACCAAUUCCACUCCAACGAUUUCAACACAAGCAUGUUUGGACUCCCCUGUAGAAGAAAGAGAAGUCCUAAUUCUGAAACACCUUUCAAUAACGUCUCUUUUCUGUAUUUUUACAUAUUAUAUUAACAUGUUCAACGGUCUCAGGCAUGCCACACUCCCACAUAGCCUAUCUGUGGUUUCCUACCACCUAUAAACAUCGACUUAACCCACAGUGCCCCAACCUUAAUCUUUUCUUUUUUUUUUUUUUUUUUUACUAUGUUGAUCCUUUUUUACAACAUAAAGAUAUACAAACAACAUCUAGUUAACUGCUUCCGAUGACCUUUCCCACGUGCAGAUUUAGAAAGCAGAAAUAAUACUUGUAUGUCCGUCAGUAAUUCUAAAGACUGAGCAAAAAAUGUGUGUCUUAAUCCAGUAAUGUUUUCUCAGAUUUAUACUUUACCAUAAUGAAUAUAAUAAAGGUGG
Molecule: long non-coding RNA, 1961 nt
Organism: Anguilla anguilla (European eel)
Lineage: Eukaryota; Metazoa; Chordata; Actinopteri; Anguilliformes; Anguillidae
Exons: 3
Source: RefSeq, a predicted model, not a curated record